Molecule: transfer RNA, 73 nt
Filed under: Bos taurus (domestic cattle)
Lineage: Eukaryota; Metazoa; Chordata; Mammalia; Artiodactyla; Bovidae
Also listed under: 2 other names
Rfam family: tRNA
About the family: Transfer RNA (tRNA) molecules are approximately 80 nucleotides in length. Their secondary structure includes four short double-helical elements and three loops (D, anti-codon, and T loops). Further hydrogen bonds mediate the characteristic L-shaped molecular structure. tRNAs have two regions of fundamental functional importance: the anti-codon, which is responsible for specific mRNA codon recognition, and the 3' end, to which the tRNAs corresponding amino acid is attached (by aminoacyl-tRNA synthetases). tRNAs cope with the degeneracy of the genetic code in two manners: having more than one tRNA (with a specific anti-codon) for a particular amino acid; and 'wobble' base-pairing, i.e. permitting non-standard base-pairing at the 3rd anti-codon position.
Source: Rfam by way of RNAcentral
UCCCUGGUGAUCCAGUGGCUAAGACCCUACACUCUCAAUGUAGGGGGCCCAGGUUCUAUUCCUGGUCAAGGAA